RNAcentral lists this ribosomal RNA (490 nucleotides) under uncultured bacterium. Its description in RNAcentral is "partial 16S ribosomal RNA". It matches the Rfam family "Bacterial small subunit ribosomal RNA", at positions 30 to 507 of the family's 1533-position model. The record is from RNAcentral.
AUUGAACGCUGGCGGCAUGCUUUACACAUGCAAGUCGGACGGCAGCACAGAGAAGCUUGCUUCUUGGGUGGCGAGUGGCGAACGGGUGAGUAAUAUAUCGGAACGUACCGAGUAAUGGGGGAUAACUAAUCGAAAGAUUAGCUAAUACCGCAUAUUCUCUGAGGAGGAAAGCAGGGGACCUUCAGGCCUUGCGUUAUUCGAGCGGCCGAUAUCUGAUUAGCUAGUUGGUGGGGUAAAGGCCUACCAAGGCGACGAUCAGUAGCGGGUCUGAGAGGAUGAUCCGCCACACUGGGACUGAGACACGGCCCAGACUCCUACGGGAGGCAGCAGUGGGGAAUUUUGGACAAUGGGCGCAAGCCUGAUCCAGCCAUGCCGCGUGUCUGAAGAAGGCCUUCGGGUUGUAAAGGACUUUUGUCAGGGAAGAAAAGGCUGUUGCUAAUACCGACAGCUGAUGACGGUACCUGAAGAAUAAGCACCGGCUAACUACGUG